RNAcentral lists this ribosomal RNA (301 nucleotides) under uncultured bacterium. Its description in RNAcentral is "partial 16S ribosomal RNA". It matches the Rfam family "Bacterial small subunit ribosomal RNA", at positions 509 to 807 of the family's 1533-position model. The record is from RNAcentral.
CAGUAGCCGCGGUAAUACGAAGGGGGCUAGCGUUGUUCGAAAUUACUGGGCGUAAAGCGCACGUAGGCGGAUAUUUAAGUCAGGGGUGAAAUCCCAGAGCUCAACUCUGGAACUGCCUUUGAUACUGGGUAUCUUGAGUAUGGAAGAGGUGAGUGGAAUUCCGAGUGUAGAGGUGAAAUUCAUAGAUAUUCGGAGGAACGCCAGUGGCGAAGGCGGCUCACUGGUCCAUUACUGACGCUGAGGUGCGAAAGCGUGGGGAGCAAACAGGAUUAGAUACCCCUGUAGUCCCUGUCUCUUAUAC